Molecule: ribosomal RNA, 466 nt
Filed under: uncultured bacterium
Lineage: Bacteria
Description: bacterial SSU rRNA
Rfam family: Bacterial small subunit ribosomal RNA
Source: RNAcentral
CCAGACUCCUACGGGAGGCAGCAGUGAGGAAUAUUGGUCAAUGGGCGAGAGCCUGAACCAGCCAAGUCGCGUGAGGGAAGACGGUCCUAUGGAUUGUAAACCUCUUUUGCCGGGGAGCAAAAAGCGGUACGUGUACCGCAUCGAGAGUACCCGGAGAAAAAGCAUCGGCUAACUCCGUGCCAGCAGCCGCGGUAAUACGGAGGAUCCGAGCGUUAUCCGGAUUUAUUGGGUUUAAAGGGUGCGUAGGCGGUUUGAUAAGUUAGAGGUGAAAUGUCGGGGCUCAACCCCGAAACUGCCUCUAAUACUGUUGGACUAGAGAAUAGUUGCGGUAGGCGGAAUGUAUGGUGUAGCGGUGAAAUGCUUAGAGAUCAUACAGAACACCGAUUGCGAAGGCAGCUUACCAAACUAUAUCUGACGUUGAGGCACGAAAGCGUGGGUAGCAAACAGGAUUAGAUACCCGGGUAAA